CUAACUAUAACAUGAUUAAAGGCGAAAAAUAAGCUAACUACAGCUGACAGCUUCAUGGAAUUUCAUUUGCAAGUGACUGUAUUUUUUUUUUUUCAGUUGAACAACCAAACAAAGGCAACGAUAUCUUGCCAGUUUUGGAAAAUUUUACUUCUAGCCUCUUUAAAUUCCUUAAAAAAAAAAAAGCAAAUAAAAUAAAACAAAAUUUUGGGUUGUUUGGGAUUUUGAAAACGUGGAAAGGAAUGAUCUUAAAAUAGAACAAGUGUGAAAUUUGGUUGGGUUUUAGGAAGUUAAAGAUCCUUAUGUACGUCUUACGUAACAAGGUAUGAACUGAAACAUGUUAGAAAACAAUUAAGAGAAGGAGAAAAAUAUGACAAUCCAGCGGAGAAUUAAUGGAGGAGAUCCUACGGAGUCAAAGUCAAUCUUUCAAUGGCGUUCGGUUUUUCUGACUGAUAUACAAGCUUUCGCCGUGUGAGUGGAAAGUUGGAAACUAUGGAUUCUAUCUUCUGAACCCUUCAGGCUUCAGGUUUCAGCCUAAAGAGUUUGGCUUCGUCUUAAACGCGUACGUGCAGCAAUUUGCGAACUACUAGACCUACUAGUAGUAGCAAAGAUUUUGCACCAAGGUAGGUUGUUGGCUUGGUUCCCGUCAGCGCUUGCUGCUUGUUAUGAGCCCACCUUAUAUAUAAUCAUGAUCGGAUAUAUGAUGUCAUGAGCCAUAUUUAUAUAGGAUCAUGAUCAGAGAUGUUAAUGGAAGAGUAGAUUUCAUAUGCUAAUGUUCCCAUUUUAAAUAGUUUUUAAUAGUAUAGUUAUAAAAAUUUUUAAGCUUUUUUAGAAGAGAUGAGCAAUCAAUUUAUUAUUAGAUUAUUUCACUAAUUAAAAUAUGUAUUAGAUCACUCAUUUAAGAUUGCCUCUUUUGACCUCGAU
Molecule: long non-coding RNA, 921 nt
Filed under: Durio zibethinus
Lineage: Eukaryota; Viridiplantae; Streptophyta; Magnoliopsida; Malvales; Malvaceae
Description: long non-coding RNA (DZIB_LNC000455)
Source: RNAcentral